Long non-coding RNA from Chinchilla lanigera (long-tailed chinchilla), 355 nucleotides. RefSeq lists it as uncharacterized. The record is from RefSeq and is a predicted model, not a curated record. NCBI's taxonomy places the organism in Eukaryota, Metazoa, Chordata, Mammalia, Rodentia, Chinchillidae. The transcript is spliced from 3 exons.
UGACCUCGCGCGUGCCUGCUGUGGCGUAGGCUUGGAGCCGCUCGCCUCCACCCUCACUCACGUUGUCCAGUAGAAGUGGAAACCUCUUCUGGCCUUAACACACUGAUUUCAUCAUGGGAAGCUCUACCCAUCUUCCUCUCUAGAGCACCAGGAAGAGAGCAAUCUGAGGUCCAUGCACACCAAGGUUUACACAAGCUCAGAUCGUAAGAGCUAAAUCCUGGAAGCAGCCUGGAUGUCCAUCAGCACAUGAACGGAUAAAGAAUAUGUGGCAACUAUACACAGUGGACUAGCACAUGGCUAUAAAGAAGGAUAAAUAUGAGGAAUUUGUAGAAAAUGUUGUGGGAAGUAAAACAGA